Molecule: long non-coding RNA, 493 nt
Filed under: Mytilus galloprovincialis (Mediterranean mussel)
Lineage: Eukaryota; Metazoa; Mollusca; Bivalvia; Mytilida; Mytilidae
Source: RNAcentral
CACAGUUAUUAAUUGAAAAUUGCUUAAGGUUUAUAUUAAACUUUUACAUCUGAAGCUAUUUUGUAUCUCCAAAAAGAAAAUUAUUUCUCAUACCGAUAUUGAUUCAAAUGAUGUAGCAACCUUGCCUGCAACAUGAAAUACAUUUUGUUUUGUUUUAACAUUGACUGUGAUAUUGUUUAUGGAAAGUUGUAUAUGUAUAUUCAAAGUUGUAUGCAUUAGCUAUUUCCAGGACAUGUUAGUACUAUUUACAUUCUAUAUUUAAUAUGUUUAUUAAGUAUCGGAAAAUAAAUUUAUUAUGGGGUUUACUGAUGUGUUAACAGAAGGUAAAGCAUCAUUGUUAUUACUUUAUCAACUUUUAAGGGGGCGGGGGACCUAAUUCUAUCGGUCAAAAUAAUCAUAUAAUGUAAUAUUAAAAGUUGAACCUUUUUUUUUUUUUUUUUUUUUUUUUUUUUUUAAAUAUUUCAGUAUUUUGAUACAACUUUUUAAGUAACAG